GACGAACGCUGGCGGCGUGCUUAACACAUGCAAGUCGAACGGAAAGGCCUGCUUUCCCUUGUGGAUUGCGGGUACUCGAGUGGCGAACGGGUGAGUAACACGUGAGUGAUCUGCCCCCAACUUGGGUAUAAGCCUGGGAAACUGGGUCUAAUUCCCGAUAGGACUGCAGGGUGGUGCCUGUGGUGGAAAACGAUUUUCUAGUGGUUGGGGAUGAGCUCGCGGCCUAUCAGCUUGUUGGUGGGGUAAUGGCCUACCAAGGCGGCGACGGGUAGCCGGCCUGGGGGGGUGGACGGCCACAUUGGGACUGAGAUACGGCCCAGACUCCUACGGGAGGCAGCAGUGGGGAAUAUUACACAAUGGGCGGAAGCCUGAUGCAGCGACGCCGCGUGGGGGAUGACGGCCUUCGGGUUGUAAACUCCUUUCGACCGCGAGGAAGCCACCUGGUUGGAAGGGUGGUGACGGUAGUGGUAGAAGAAGCACCGGCUAACUACGUG
RNAcentral lists this ribosomal RNA (494 nucleotides) under uncultured bacterium. RNAcentral's name for it is "partial 16S ribosomal RNA". It matches the Rfam family "Bacterial small subunit ribosomal RNA", at positions 28 to 507 of the family's 1533-position model. The record is from RNAcentral.